RNAcentral lists this ribosomal RNA (305 nucleotides) under uncultured bacterium. RNAcentral describes it as "bacterial SSU rRNA". It matches the Rfam family "Bacterial small subunit ribosomal RNA", at positions 334 to 653 of the family's 1533-position model. The record is from RNAcentral.
UUGUCCUACGGGGGGCAGCAGUGGGGAAUAUUGGGCAAUGGGCGCAAGCCUGACCCAGCAACGCCGCGUGAAGGAAGAAGGCCCUCGGGUUGUAAACUUCUUUUAUCAAGGACGAAACAAAUGACGGUACCUCUUGAAUAAGCCACGGCUAACUACGUGCCAGCAGCCGCGGUAAUACGUAGGUGGCAAGCGUUGUCCGGAUUUACUGGGUGUAAAGGGCGUGUAGCCGGGCCGGCAAGUCAGAUGUGAAAUCCCAAGGCUCAACCUUGGAACUGCAUUUGAAACUGUUGGUCUUGAUUAUCGGG